Non-coding RNA from Salvia hispanica, 1649 nucleotides. The record is from RefSeq and is a predicted model, not a curated record. NCBI's taxonomy places the organism in Eukaryota, Viridiplantae, Streptophyta, Magnoliopsida, Lamiales, Lamiaceae.
UUUUAACCCCAUCUUGAACUUGAGCUAAAUAAUCAUGUCAUGUCCCAUCCUGAUGUAAAUGGAUGCCUCUGAUGAAAAAAUUCUAGAGGGCGACUCAAGUUAUUUUAGGGAAAAUUUUCUUGAUUAGUGGGCUAGUUAAUAAUGAAAGAUGUUGUCACAAGCUACUAGAUUGAAAUUGGAUUCAAAUAUACAUUAAAGAAACAUAUUUGAAGUCCAAUUAACAAUAACCAGCAACAUAAACCUUUUGAGAGUCCGAGACAUGAUGACAUAAAUCAAUAAGAUAUGGCAUGAAAUAAAUUGAAAAACCAUCCAUUGUAUUUUUUUUUAUCACACAUUGCUUUUGUUUUGUGUUCAAUAAACAUUGGAAAGUCUUUUUCACUUUUAAGUGGUUAGUAGUUUAUAUUGCUAAUCUUUGUUGCUCGCCUUUGUGGUUUAAUGUUGACUUCAAAGCGAAGAGUCUUAGCUUGAUGUCAACGCACUGUGUAACCCCCCUCCCCGCUCUUCUCUCUGAUGGCGACUUCAAUUAUGCUUUGGAUCAGGUAAGUUAAACUCUUGAAUGAGAUGCUGUGGUGGAUAAGUUUGUGAUGUUUUUUAUUCUGUCCCCUUUACCCUUUUUGAACUACUAUAAUUUAUAUAAAAGGGAGGUACUUCAUUGGUGCUGUAAGAUAUAUAUGUACCCACAGUAGAUUUGAAUUUUAUGCUUUUGUUGUUUUAUACUUGGCAAUGGAAUUCUUACAAACACUGUCAAUGGUUUACCGUUUAUGACUUCUUGUGAAAUGCGUCACAAUGAGAUGAAUAGGCAUUGCAUUUGCUGAACUUUCUGCAGAAUUUAUUAUGUCUACUAGUGAACUUGUUCGUACUUUUUACUGGAAUACGCAUUUUGGGAGACUGCCACACUCCAUCUAUGAGGCUGUUUAUUGUAACUGACAAGGCAGCAUGGUUGACAGAUUUUGGAUUUUGCAGUUAAAUACAAGGUAGCUACUCUUGCAGGACAGAUCCGACUUUGCACCCUCUUAGCCUUGUUGCUACAGCUGAAGCAUCACGCUAGCAAGAAGUUAUGGGAUCACCACCAUCACUCUACUCUAUGCUUGUUUUAAGCGCAUCAUUAUAAAUGAAUUUUCAGACUAAACAGAGACAAGUUGAAAAGGAUGGGAACACCCUCUUUUCUCAUGGUUUUCCUCUGUUUGAUUGGAUUGGUAUGUUUUCUGCUCAACCCGGGCUCAACUCUGCAAUCCCACAAUGUGAGGUAAAAUUCUUUCCCAUCUUCAGUGCUCUAUUCGGGUCCUAGUUGUCGUUCUCAAAAAUCAUCCAGAUGCAGUACUGGCGACACAAGGUGCUCCACUGCAUCUAAUUUAUUGUAGCAGAUCUAUGGAUAUGGAGGGCUUAACAACCUGCGUCGAUGGGUUCUUUCUAAAUUUACGAGAGCUUUUUGGCACCACCACCACCACCACCACCACCACAACUGAUGCUCCGAGCUCGUAUUCAUUAUUCCUUCUACAACAUAUGGAUAAUGUGUUCAUUUUCACUCGAAAUUGAAUCCAUAGAUGCCAAAUAAUUAUAGGAAAUAAAAGAGCUUUUGCACUCCAGGCCCAAUAAAUCAUUGUAGACUUGUACUCCCUCCGUUUCAUAACAAUGGUGUUAUUUUGCUA